GGGCCGGUAGUUCAGGGGUAGAAUGUCCGCCUUGCACGCGGAAGAUUAUAGGUAUACUAUAAUCAGCGAGAGGUCGAGGGUUCAAAUCCCUCCCGGUCCA
Molecule: transfer RNA, 100 nt
Filed under: Candidatus Nitrosocaldaceae archaeon
Lineage: Archaea; Thermoproteati; Nitrososphaerota; Nitrososphaeria; Candidatus Nitrosocaldales; Candidatus Nitrosocaldaceae
Description: tRNA-Ala
Rfam family: tRNA
About the family: Transfer RNA (tRNA) molecules are approximately 80 nucleotides in length.
Source: RNAcentral